GUUCAGAAAUGAUGAAUUGAUCAGAUAUACUAGAGCUGGGGAUGUCUCGGGGGGUUUACCCCUCGGGCUUUUCCUCGGCCUGUGAGUAUAGAGGCGAUUCUGAUCUG
RNAcentral lists this small nucleolar RNA (107 nucleotides) under Lepisosteus oculatus (spotted gar). RNAcentral's name for it is "Small Cajal body-specific RNA 2 (ENSLOCG00000019206.1)". It matches the Rfam family "Small Cajal body-specific RNA 2", at positions 341 to 419 of the family's 420-position model. The record is from RNAcentral. Lineage: Eukaryota; Metazoa; Chordata; Actinopteri; Semionotiformes; Lepisosteidae.